GAUGAACGCUAGCGGCAGGCUUAACACAUGCAAGUCGAGGGGCAGCACGUCUUCGGAUGGUGGCGACCGGCGCACGGGUGAGUAACGCGUAUGCAAUCUACCUUUUACAGGGGCAUAGCCCGGGGAAACCCGGAUUAAUAUCCUAUAGUACCAUUAUAUAGCAUUAUAUUAUGGUUAAAGUCUCGGCGGUAAAAGAUGAGCAUGCGUCCUAUUAGCUUGAUGGUAAGGUAACGGCUUACCAUGGCUAUGAUAGGUAGGGGUCCUGAGAGGGAGACCCCCCACACUGGUACUGAGACACGGACCAGACUCCUACGGGAGGCAGCAGUGAGGAAUAUUGGACAAUGGGCGCAAGCCUGAUCCAGCCAUGCCGCGUGCAGGAAGACGGCCCUAUGGGUUGUAAACUGCUUUUAUACGGGAAGAAACACCCCUUCGUGAAGGGACUUGACGGUACCGUAUGAAUAAGGAUCGGCUAACUCCGUGCCAGCAGCCGCGGUAAUACGGAGGA
RNAcentral lists this ribosomal RNA (505 nucleotides) under uncultured bacterium. RNAcentral describes it as "bacterial SSU rRNA". It matches the Rfam family "Bacterial small subunit ribosomal RNA", at positions 28 to 532 of the family's 1533-position model. The record is from RNAcentral.